RNAcentral lists this long non-coding RNA (229 nucleotides) under Gossypium barbadense (sea-island cotton). RNAcentral describes it as "long non-coding RNA (GBAR_LNC013563)". Lineage: Eukaryota; Viridiplantae; Streptophyta; Magnoliopsida; Malvales; Malvaceae. The record is from RNAcentral.
UUUUAUCUCAUUGUCACCAUUGUGUCUUCUUAAUGAUUAAUAUGACCACUGUCAACAAAUGACUGUGAUAAAUUACUCGUUCAAGAAUAAGCAACCCAUGGCCAAGUUCCAUAUUUAUCAAUCCACACAAUGUCAAUGAGAGGAUAUCAUUAACUCUUUAAUUGAGCUAUGAAUUCCACUAUUGCUAGUAAAGCCAUACCAUACACAAGUCAUGUACCCAACAUGCCGG